This 250-nucleotide ribosomal RNA is filed under the name uncultured prokaryote. RNAcentral's name for it is "partial 16S ribosomal RNA". It matches the Rfam family "Bacterial small subunit ribosomal RNA", at positions 524 to 773 of the family's 1533-position model. The record is from RNAcentral.
UACGUAGGUGGCAAGCGUUGUCCGGAUUUACUGGGUGUAAAGGGCGUGCAGCCGGGUCUGCAAGUCAGGCGUGAAAUCCAAGGGCUUAACCCUUGAACUGCGUUUGAAACUGUAGAUCUUGAGUGCCGGAGGGGCAAUCGGAAUUCCUAGUGUAGCGGUGAAAUGCGUAGAUAUUAGGAGGAACACCAGUGGCGAAGGCGGAUUGCUGGACGGCAACUGACGGUGAGGCGCGAAAGCCAGGGGAGCGAAC